Molecule: ribosomal RNA, 488 nt
Filed under: uncultured bacterium
Lineage: Bacteria
Description: bacterial SSU rRNA
Rfam family: Bacterial small subunit ribosomal RNA
Source: RNAcentral
GAUGAACGCUAGCGGCAGGCCUAAUACAUGCAAGUCGAACGAGAUUAGUAGCAAUACUAUGAAAGUGGCGCACGGGUGCGUAACACGUAUGCAAUCUACCUUUAAUUGGAGAAUAGCCUCGAGAAAUCGGGAUUAAUACUCCAUAACAUUAUGAAGUGGCAUCACUUUAUAAUUAAACCUCCGGGGAUUAAAGAUGAGCAUGCGCAACAUUAGCUAGUUGGUAAGGUAAUGGCUUACCAAGGCUACGAUGUUUAGGGGGUCUGAGAGGAUGAUCCCCCACACUGGUACUGAGACACGGACCAGACUCCUACGGGAGGCAGCAGUAGGGAAUAUUGGGCAAUGGAGGCAACUCUGACCCAGCCAUGCCGCGUGCAGGAUGACGGCCCUCUGGGUUGUAAACUGCUUUUAUACGGGAAGAAAAAGUACUACGUGUAGUAUAUUGACGGUACCGUAAGAAUAAGGAUCGGCUAACUCCGUGCCAGCAGCCG